AUUGAACGCUGGCGGCAUGCUUUACACAUGCAAGUCGAACGGCAGCGCGGGCUUCGGCCUGGCGGCGAGUGGCGAACGGGUGAGUAAUGCAUCGGAACGUGCCCAGUAGUGGGGGAUAGCCCGGCGAAAGCCGGAUUAAUACCGCAUACGACCUGAGGGUGAAAGCGGGGGACCGAAAGGCCUCGCGCUAUUGGAGCGGCCGAUGUCGGAUUAGCUAGUUGGUGGGGUAAAGGCUUACCAAGGCGACGAUCCGUAGCUGGUCUGAGAGGACGACCAGCCACACUGGGACUGAGACACGGCCCAGACUCCUACGGGAGGCAGCAGUGGGGAAUUUUGGACAAUGGGGGCAAGCCUGAUCCAGCCAUGCCGCGUGUGUGAAGAAGGCCUUCGGGUUGUAAACCGCUUUUGUUCGGGAAGAAAGCCUCUGAGCUAAUACCCCGGGGGGAUGACGUUACCAGAAGAAUAAGCACCGGCUAACUACGUG
RNAcentral lists this ribosomal RNA (484 nucleotides) under uncultured bacterium. RNAcentral's name for it is "partial 16S ribosomal RNA". It matches the Rfam family "Bacterial small subunit ribosomal RNA", at positions 29 to 507 of the family's 1533-position model. The record is from RNAcentral.